Molecule: non-coding RNA, 30 nt
Filed under: Mus musculus (house mouse)
Lineage: Eukaryota; Metazoa; Chordata; Mammalia; Rodentia; Muridae
Source: RNAcentral
UGAGCACCUGCUUCUGACAGCAUUGUCUUC